UACGGAGGAUGCGAGCGUUAUCCGGAUUUAUUGGGUUUAAAGGGUGCGUAGGCGGGCUUUUAAGUCAGCGGUAAAAAUUCGGGGCUCAACCCCGUCCGGCCGUUGAAACUGGGGGCCUUGAGUGGGCGAGAAGAAGGCGGAAUGCGUGGUGUAGCGGUGAAAUGCAUAAAUAUCACGCAGAACCCCGAUUGCGAAGGCAGCCUUCCGGCGCCCUACUGACGCUGAGGCACGAAAGUGCGGGGAUCGAACAGG
Molecule: ribosomal RNA, 252 nt
Filed under: uncultured bacterium
Lineage: Bacteria
Description: partial 16S ribosomal RNA
Rfam family: Bacterial small subunit ribosomal RNA
Source: RNAcentral